CCUACGGGUGACUGCAGUGGGGGAUAUUGCACAAUGGGGGGAACCCUGAUGCAGCGACGCCGCGUGGGUGAAGGAGUGCUUCGGCAUGUAAAGCCCUAUCGGCAGGGAAGAAGCAAGACGGUACCUAACUAACAAGCCCCGGCUAACUACGUGCCAGCAGCCGCGGUAAUACGUAGGGGGCGAGCGUUGUCCGGAUUCACUGGGGGUAAAGGGAGCGUAGACGGUCAGGCAAGCCAGGGGUGAAAGCCCGGGGCCCAACCCCGGGAGUGCCUUUGGAACUGGAUGGCUUGAGUGCGGGAGGGGCAGGCGGAAUUCCAGGUGUAGCGGUGAAAUGCGUAGAUAUCAGGAGGAACACCGGUGGCGAAGGCGGCCUGCUGGACCGCGACUGACGCUGAGGCUCGAAAGCGUGGGGAGCGAACAGGAUUAGAUACCCUAGUAGUC
Molecule: ribosomal RNA, 441 nt
Filed under: uncultured bacterium
Lineage: Bacteria
Description: partial 16S ribosomal RNA
Rfam family: Bacterial small subunit ribosomal RNA
Source: RNAcentral